This 28-nucleotide non-coding RNA is filed under the name Rattus norvegicus (Norway rat). Lineage: Eukaryota; Metazoa; Chordata; Mammalia; Rodentia; Muridae. The record is from RNAcentral.
UCAGUUGACCUCAGGCCUGCAUCCAGGG